GUAGCAUUAGCUUAAUGGAUAGAGCUUAAGCCUCCUAAGCUUAUGAUGUCAGUUCAAAUCUGAUAUGCUACACCA
This 75-nucleotide transfer RNA is filed under the name bacterium. Its description in RNAcentral is "tRNA-Arg". It matches the Rfam family "tRNA". Rfam says of the family: Transfer RNA (tRNA) molecules are approximately 80 nucleotides in length. Their secondary structure includes four short double-helical elements and three loops (D, anti-codon, and T loops). Further hydrogen bonds mediate the characteristic L-shaped molecular structure. tRNAs have two regions of fundamental functional importance: the anti-codon, which is responsible for specific mRNA codon recognition, and the 3' end, to which the tRNAs corresponding amino acid is attached (by aminoacyl-tRNA synthetases). tRNAs cope with the degeneracy of the genetic code in two manners: having more than one tRNA (with a specific anti-codon) for a particular amino acid; and 'wobble' base-pairing, i.e. permitting non-standard base-pairing at the 3rd anti-codon position. The record is from RNAcentral.